AUGUCUUGUAGAUCAAUGGCCAACGCUAAUGUCAACAUGAACUUCAACGCGUUCCUAGAGAAAACCAAGCUGAAAGAUGAUGGCAGCAACUAUACGGACUGGGUCCGGAACCUGAGGAUCAUCCUCAUAGCUGCCAGGAAACAAUAUGUCCUAGAAGGACCGCUAGGUGACGCUCCCGUCCCAGAGAACCAAGACAUUAUGAAUGCUUGGCAGUCUCGUGCUGAUGAUUACUCCCUCGUUCAGUGCGGCAUGCUUUACAGCUUAGAACCGGGGCUCCAAAAGCGUUUUGAGCACCACGGAGCAUAUGAGAUGUUCGAAGAGCUGAAACUAGUUUUUCAAGCUCAUGCCCGGGUCGAGAGAUAUGAUGUCUCCGACAAGUUCUACAGUUGUAAGAUG
Molecule: ribosomal RNA, 396 nt
Filed under: Triticum aestivum (bread wheat)
Lineage: Eukaryota; Viridiplantae; Streptophyta; Magnoliopsida; Poales; Poaceae
Description: partial small subunit ribosomal RNA
Source: RNAcentral